UACGUAGGAGGCAAGCGUUGUCCGGAAUUACUGGGCGUAAAGCGCGUGUAGGUGGUGGGACAAGUCUGCUGUGAAAGCGCCUGGCUUAACCGGGCGAGGUCGGCGGAAACUGUUCGACUCGAGGACGGUAGAGGGGGGUGGAAUUCCCGGUGUAGUGGUGAAAUGCGUAGAGAUCGGGAGGAACACCUGUGGCGAAGGCGGCCCCCUGGGCCGGCCCUGACACUGAGACGCGAAAGCGUGGGGAGCGAACAGG
RNAcentral lists this ribosomal RNA (253 nucleotides) under uncultured bacterium. RNAcentral's name for it is "partial 16S ribosomal RNA". It matches the Rfam family "Bacterial small subunit ribosomal RNA", at positions 524 to 776 of the family's 1533-position model. The record is from RNAcentral.